GUACGGGAGGCAGCAGUGGGGAAUUUUGCGCAAUGGGCGAAAGCCUGACGCAGCAACGCCGCGUGUGUGAUGAAGGUCUUCGGAUUGUAAAGCACUUUCGACCGGGACGAAAACCCGCUGGCCAAUAUCCAGCGGCUUGACGGUACCGGGAGAAGAAGCACCGGCUAACUCUGUGCCAGCAGCCGCGGUAAUACAGAGGGUGCAAGCGUUGUUCGGAAUUAUUGGGCGUAAAGCGCGUGUAGGCGGCUUUGCAAGUCGGGUGUGAAAGCCCUCGGCUCAACCGAGGAAGUGCGCCCGAAACUGCAGAGCUUGAGUACCGGAGAGGAUGGCGGAAUUCCCCAAGUAGAGGUGAAAUUCGUAGAUAUGGGGAGGAACACCGGUGGCGAAGGCGGCCAUCUGGACGGAUACUGACGCUGAGACGCGAAAGCGUGGGGAGCAAACAGGAUUAGAUACCCCGGUAGUCCC
This 465-nucleotide ribosomal RNA is filed under the name uncultured bacterium. RNAcentral's name for it is "bacterial SSU rRNA". It matches the Rfam family "Bacterial small subunit ribosomal RNA", at positions 339 to 797 of the family's 1533-position model. The record is from RNAcentral.